Molecule: ribosomal RNA, 434 nt
Filed under: uncultured Lachnospiraceae bacterium
Lineage: Bacteria; Bacillati; Bacillota; Clostridia; Lachnospirales; Lachnospiraceae
Description: partial 16S ribosomal RNA
Rfam family: Bacterial small subunit ribosomal RNA
Source: RNAcentral
ACGGAAGGCAGCAGUGGGGGAUAUUGCACAAUGGGGGAAACCCUGAUGCAGCGACGCCGCGUGAGUGAUGAAGGAUUUCGGUAUGUAAAGCUCUAUCAGCAGGAAAGAUAAUGACGGUACCUGACUAAGAAGCACCGGCUAAAUACGUGCCAGCAGCCGCGGUAAUACGUAUGGUGCAAGCGUUAUCCGGAUUUACUGGGUGUAAAGGGUGCGUAGACGGCUGUGCAAGUCAGAAGUGAAAUCCCGGGGCUUAACCCCGGUGCUGCUUUUGAAACUGUACGGCUAGAGUGCUGGAGGGGCAAGCGGAAUUCCUGGUGUAGCGGUGAAAUGCGUAGAUAUCAGGAGGAACACCGGUGGCGAAGGCGGCUUGCUGGACAGUAACUGACGUUGAGGCACGAAAGCGUGGGGAGCAAACAGGAUUAGAUACCCUGGUA